CAUCGAUUGUAACUCAAUUUUUUUGGAGAUGUUCCUCCCAUUUCACUCAAACUUGUUGAUUUUGGGGGACUGAAAGACAAGUGCCCGAUCUACACUCCAACCAAAGCAAAAAGUGACCCCCCUUGUUUUUUUGAUGGAUCUUGUUACUCUUGCAGAUUGGAGACUCCUAGGUGGUAGGAGUCCUCGGUGAGAAAAUGAUUUGUCAUUUUUCCCAUCGUUUGUGAAGGUUUGGAGGCCGCCUCAAGGUAUACCAUCAGUGGUUUGCAAUCACCUUUUUGGUGAUAUUUCAACGAAAAGAAGGCCAGAAGUCGAUCCGAGGUCGACACGGCGUCUGUUCCCCUGCCAUGCCUGCACCCAGCAGGGACCCUCACCAGGCUCAACUUCGCCAGACCUCAAGGCAAAUCCUAUGGGGUAUCGCACAGCAAAACGUUGUAUUUGAGUUGGUAACAGAGGCAAGAUACCGCGGUCGCGGCAACGACAGAACCAACCUCAAGCCCAAUGUUUGAUCCCCAUUCGUUCAGACAUAGUGCCACAACCACUUUAAUCAUGUGUACCAGUUCAUGUCCAUAGUGUACAAACCAGUUGUGCGGCGUCGCCGGAACGCUCACGAUGAUCCUCGGGCUGGAGCACAUGAUUAAAGCUGUUGCGGCAUUGUAGCGUGUCAUGCCUGAAUUUGGAGCAAACUUGGCACUUGAGGUUGCUUCUGCCAUUGCCGCGUAUCCGCCCACCAUUAACACGACCAACAAUGUCGACGGUCAGGAUUUGAGCUACAUAAAAAUAAAAUGUGCCUUAUUUGAUGUUAGACCAGAUCACGGCAAAAUUCAGAAAAGAAAGGCAGAUAGGUUUGUAACUACUUUGUGGUGCAAUGUGUACAGGAUUCGGUAGAGGUUCAGUUGACACUUGAGAGUUCAAGGAUGGAGGCGACAUGCUUUGUUUUUGCUUCAAGAACCAUGAUGGAGCAGCCCAUUUCAAAACUUGGGAGUAGCAAGCUCAAACUUGGAGUUUCUGAACUUGACGUGUGGAACAUCAUUUUUGGACUUGCUUACCAUUUUCGAUGAUGAUCUCAACGUUGCAGGCCAGAAGUCGAUGGGAGGAAGACACGGCGCCGUCCGUUCCCCUGCCGUGCCUGCAUCCAGCGGGGCUCUCACCAGGCCUCCACUUCACUGGGCCACCGUAUCCUGCUGGGCAUAGGUUGCGUAGCCCGACCCUGGCGUACUGCACACUACCGGUUCUGUAGCUACUCUAUUAUGUCAGAACGCUUGAGAGGGAUGAACGUGAAACAGCAGCAGCAGCGAAGAUACCGCUGCUACUUCUCACUCGUACCCUGCUCCCUUCUCGUGAUGCUCGUCUUGCUCCUCACCGGAGCUAACCACGACCGACGACGACAAACAGGGCAGAUUAUGAUCUUUUCUGAACUAGCAACAAACAGCACAGCACAACACUCUGUCUAUAUAUCCCUCCCUGCCUCCAUGUCUGAACUUUUGUUUGAAACAGAGUUCCUGAACUUCCUAGUAAUUAACAAGUGCUAGGAGUAGCUCCGAUCCUUCUGUGUGAAUGUUUGAGAGGAAAAUCAACCUUGCGUCGCAGGAGAGAAGAGAGAAGCCUAUGGGUGACGCCACAGGUUGUGUGGGUGUGUAAGUUAAAUAACAAACAGAGAUUUGGGUUUGUGACACAGAGCAUAAGAAGAAUGGCGAAGCUUUCAGUAACCUCCAAAUUGCAGCAGAUCUUGCCUGUCCGCGAUUUGGUUCUUCUUCUUGA
Molecule: long non-coding RNA, 1758 nt
Organism: Triticum aestivum (bread wheat)
Lineage: Eukaryota; Viridiplantae; Streptophyta; Magnoliopsida; Poales; Poaceae
Exons: 2
Source: RefSeq, a predicted model, not a curated record